This 87-nucleotide transfer RNA is filed under the name Patescibacteria group bacterium. Its description in RNAcentral is "tRNA-Tyr". It matches the Rfam family "tRNA". Rfam says of the family: Transfer RNA (tRNA) molecules are approximately 80 nucleotides in length. The record is from RNAcentral.
GGGCAGAUACCGAAGCGGUCAAACGGGGCAGACUGUAAAUCUGCUGGCCCUGUGCCUUCGAAGGUUCGAAUCCUUCUCUGCCCACCA